This is a long non-coding RNA of Poecilia latipinna (sailfin molly), 1411 nucleotides long. RefSeq lists it as uncharacterized. Lineage: Eukaryota; Metazoa; Chordata; Actinopteri; Cyprinodontiformes; Poeciliidae. The record is from RefSeq and is a predicted model, not a curated record. The transcript is spliced from 2 exons.
CAAAUUACAAGAAUAACCCAUUUAGUGUCAAAGUGAAAACUGAUUUCUUCAGGUGACUGCAUAAAUAUCCACUCCCUUUAAAGUGACUGACCUAAUUCAACAGCUAAUUGGUGAUAACUAGCAUUAGGCUGGCACUGGCAGCACUAGCUAGCUUUAGGCUGGCAUUAGCAGCACUAGCUAUCUUUGGGCUGGCAUUGCAAGGCUUGCACAGAGAAGUAUUGCAACGUGCGCUAGUAUUUGUGUUUUGAUGACUGUGUUUGCAAUGUCAUUACAAAUACAGUCAUCAGUCUGUAUUUGAUGACUGUAUUUUAAUGGCAGUCAUCAGUCAUUGCUGAUGACUGAUGCUGGUAACUAAUUUUCAACAAAGUAAAUGUCCUGCUGUAAUGGGUCAGACGUUCAGUUAUCUGGAAAUGUUGAAAGCAUGUUUUCUGCAGGAGGAAGAUAAUUUUUCUGUGUGGCGCCUGUUCAAUAUUAUUUCAUUAAUAUUCCUAAUGACUUGUAGGAAAGGAGUAAUAAAGCGCUACCUUUUGUCUUUUAGAUAUCUAAACCAAACUUUACUUAUUUUUUGAUAAAACAUUUUCAGUUCAUUGUUUACAUAUUGCAAAAUAAACUUCAAUUGAUUUGAAAUGGUGAGAACAUAUUAAAGUAUGUUCUGGGAGCAUCACUAGCUCUCAUCUAGAAAAGUUCUUAUAAAAAUCUGACCUGCUAAGAUUUAUGAUCCUGAAAAACACCUACUGGUCACAUGUACAAAUGGUGUUUGUCAAAAACAAGCCAGGGACUUGUUCUGGCGUCUGUAAGGUCCUGCGGUAUAUCAAUAGUCUAAAUAAUGACUCAGACAGAAAACAAGGUUUCAAGCUGGUGUUUUUUCCUCUGUUUGAAGAGGACAUAUCGCUCCCCGCUGUCACCAUGGAAACCAAAUUGUACUAGAAAUUCCUGUUGACUCACAUCGAGGGUCUCACUCAAAGCAAAAAUAUUCAAGUCAAAGUGGUGCAGAUGCCCCGCGGCGCGGCUUUUCUGCUCAAAAACCUUUUACCGGGACAUAAAUAUCUCGGACUCAGAUGUAACCAUGGAAACUGGCCACAACUGAUGGGCUUGAAACGUCAGGAUUGGCAUACACAAUCGGCCGGCUCGCACACGCGCACAGAGAUGCGUGCUCGCUGACAAACACGUACACAAACACACACACACUGGCAAUUAUUGUGCUCAUUCAUUAUUAUGCAAGACACUCCAGGCUGCAUGUUAUUGCGACUGUAUGGGUUAGGAAAACCGCAAAGCGCCUUACAUGUGAAAUUUAUGUUUAAAUAUGCGGAGAGAGUUUCAUAUUUUAGUGGAAGAUUACCAGCACAUUAACUGACAAGGAGACCAUGAAAAGAAAUCCAAUUUCUGUAAUUCGGUGUGUUUAAUUAAAAAG